AGUGAACGCUGGCGGUAGGCCUAACACAUGCAAGUCGAACGGCAGCACAGUAAGAGCUUGCUCUUACGGGUGGCGAGUGGCGGACGGGUGAGGAAUACAUCGGAAUCUACUUUUUCGUGGGGGAUAACGUAGGGAAACUUACGCUAAUACCGCAUACGACCUACGGGUGAAAGCAGGGGAUCUUCGGACCUUGCGCGAUUGAAUGAGCCGAUGUCGGAUUAGCUAGUUGGCGGGGUAAAGGCCCACCAAGGCGACGAUCCGUAGCUGGUCUGAGAGGAUGAUCAGCCACACUGGAACUGAGACACGGUCCAGACUCCUACGGGAGGCAGCAGUGGGGAAUAUUGGACAAUGGGCGCAAGCCUGAUCCAGCCAUACCGCGUGGGUGAAGAAGGCCUUCGGGUUGUAAAGCCCUUUUGUCGGGAAAGAAAGGCAGCAGGUUAAUACCCCGCUGUUCUGACGGUACCCAAAGAAUAAGCACCGGCUAACUUCGUG
Molecule: ribosomal RNA, 492 nt
Filed under: uncultured bacterium
Lineage: Bacteria
Description: partial 16S ribosomal RNA
Rfam family: Bacterial small subunit ribosomal RNA
Source: RNAcentral